UUGAGUGAGUGGCGGACGGGUGAGUAACACGUGGGUAACCUGCCCAAAAGUGGGGGAUAACAUCUGGAAACAGGUGCUAAUACCGCAUAACAACUACUUUCACAUGAUCGUAGCUUGAAAGAUGGCUCUGCUAUCGCUUUUGGAUGGACCCGCGGCGUAUUAGCUAGUUGGUGAGGUAACGGCUCACCAAGGCAAUGAUACGUAGCCGACCUGAGAGGGUAAUCGGCCACAUUGGGACUGAGACACGGCCCAAACUCCUACGGGAGGCAGCAGUAGGGAAUCUUCCACAAUGGGCGAAAGCCUGAUGGAGCAAUGCCGCGUGAGUGAAGAAGGUUUUCGGAUCGUAAAACUCUGUUGUUGAAGAAGAACAUGCGUGAGAGUAACUGUUCACGUACUGACGGUAUUCAACCAGAAAGCCACGGCUAACUACGUGCCAGCAGCCGCGGUAAUACGUAGGU
Molecule: ribosomal RNA, 458 nt
Filed under: Lactobacillus sp.
Lineage: Bacteria; Bacillati; Bacillota; Bacilli; Lactobacillales; Lactobacillaceae
Description: bacterial SSU rRNA
Rfam family: Bacterial small subunit ribosomal RNA
Source: RNAcentral